ACUCAUACCUUGUAAGGGAAAUACCAUGUCCUAAAAGUGGUUUGGCUAGGGAGAAGCUCAUCUAUUGUACUCGGGGUAUGUUGCUGAUCCCUAUGGUUUCCCCAGAUGUGGGGAACUCAUUUGUAUAAUUUAUGUUAAUAGGGGGAUUACAUUUAUGAUUUUCCUGU
RNAcentral lists this small nuclear RNA (167 nucleotides) under Pogona vitticeps (central bearded dragon). Its description in RNAcentral is "U1 spliceosomal RNA (ENSPVIG00000011585.1)". It matches the Rfam family "U1 spliceosomal RNA". Rfam says of the family: U1 is a small nuclear RNA (snRNA) component of the spliceosome (involved in pre-mRNA splicing). Its 5' end forms complementary base pairs with the 5' splice junction, thus defining the 5' donor site of an intron. The record is from Rfam by way of RNAcentral. Lineage: Eukaryota; Metazoa; Chordata; Lepidosauria; Squamata; Agamidae.